CUCAGAGAGAUGAUUUAGCAGAGGGUUGUUAGAGUUAGGGUACUAUGGUUAGGCUGUGGUUGGACUUGAUGAUCUUUGAGGUCCUUUCCAACCUGAGUAAUUCUAUGAUUCUAUGAUCCUCUGGGCCUUUCUUAAUAACCAGUAGGCUGGAGAAAUCCUUACAAGCCAUUUAUUGCCUCUCAGGAUAUGAAGGAGGAUUUAAAUGGGGCUCAUUAAAUGUCUCCUUUUCACUUUCAGUUCCAGGCUGGUGCUCCUCAUCAUGCUGUCUCAACCUCCUUACCCAUUUGUUUCUCCUUUCUUUCAUACCGACAUUUUUGAAGAUGCAUGGGCAUCUUCAAAAACAACUGGAUGUCACCUUUGGUGUUUUUUUUCUUAAAGCUGGGAGUGUUAGAUACUGGCAAGUGCUUGUGCAUUGCUCCUUUUCAUCCUUUCACCUACCCAGGGCCCCAUCCAACCUAGCCCUGAGCACCUCCAGGGAGGGGGCAUCUACAACUUGUCUGGGCAGCUGUGCCAGCACCUCACCACCCUGUGUGUUUGUCCCCUUAAGAAAAUUAUUGUGUGUGUCAAAUCUCUUGUAAUGAGAACUCUUGAUAGCAUAGUAAUCCAUGUAAUAAAAAUGAGAUCGUGGGCCCAGGUGACACUGGGAAAUACUAGGUUGCAAACAUCCUUAUUGUUAACAAUUGCACUUAAUUGCUAUAAUCAUGGCGAGUUAAAAUAGGGUCAAGCCCGUAGCUAAGGUAGAUCUGAAGUGAGGUCAUUUGUGAUGUCAAAACUGAAGUCGCCGGCCUCAUGCCUUCCUGCAUGGCCGUAACAAGGAGAAGCACCCAUGGCUGCACAGCAGAUUGCACAAGGUGGCCCUGCUGCUCCAUUGCUUCAGCUGGGGUGUCCAGUGAGGGACAGAAGUGCUGGGGGAAGGGGAAAGGCACUGCCCCCAGAGAGGAGCCCACACGGCCUUCCCUGAUGGCUGCCAGAGACAAAUGUGCAAACCAUUGCUAGGAGGUGAUUGAUAUAAAAUGUAAAGGGAUUAGUGAAAUUGGUUUGUAAGAUAAAUUAAUGUUGACCUUUCAAGCGAUGGGUUGGAGCCAGCAGCAAGAAAGCAGGUUUUGACGGAGACCAGUGUUGACUGGCUAAAAGCAUCACAAGAUAAAUGAGGGUCUGUUUGGUGAUGCCUAGGCACAAGGUCACAUUGUCAUGUGGGGAUGCUGCUGGCCAGCAAGGUGGUUGCUCUGUGUCAGUGGGCCACUUUCUUGCAGUGUCACUGAGCUGCCAUGGCUUGUGUGUCUGCCUGUACUGUGCCUGUAUCCACUGAGUGAACUACUGUUGGUGUAGAAUCAUAAUGAAGUUAACCGUGAGAAUUGGCAUGUUUUAUGUGGUAGUCCCUUUGCACUUAGCAUUGGUGAGGCUGCACCUCAAGUGCUGUGUUCUGUUCUGGGCCCCUCAGUACAAGAAAGACGUGGAGGCCCUGGAGUGUGACCAGAGAAGGGCAGUGGAGCUGAGAGGUCUGGAGCACAAGUUCUGAGGAACUGAGGGUUGUUCAGUCUGGAGAAGAGGAGACUCAGGGGUGACCUUAUCACUCCCUACAGUGACUUUAAAGGAGAUUGUGGUAAGGUGGAGGUCAUCCUCUUCUCCCAGGUAACUGUAAUAGGAUGAGAGGUAAUGGCCUUAAGCUGUGCCAGGGGAGGCUCAGGUUGGAUAUUAGGAAAAAGUUCUUAAAAAGAACGGUGCUGCAGUGGCACAGGCUGCCCAGGGAGGUGGCGGAGUCACUGUCCCUGAUGGUGUUCCAGGACUGUGUGGAGGUGGCAUUGAAGGACGUGGUCAGUGGGCAGUUCUGGUCAUAGGUGGACAGUUGGACUGGGUGAUCUUAGAGGUCUCUUUCAACCUUAAUGAUUCUAUAAUUCUGUGUGAUGAAGAGCGCAUAACUCGGUGAUCCCACUGAACUCAGUGAUCCCCUAUUCAUAGAAAUAAUCUAUAGAAUAGGUUAUAAGUAGAAACAAUCUAGCAAUAUUGUGAUGAUUUCUCCAACUCUUCCUGGAAACCAGGGGUUUUGCCAGCUGUGCUCACCUCAAAGUGUUCAGAUUUCCUUUUGCUGCUCACUGUGAGUGCACAGACAGCCACGUCUCCAUCCCGGCGUGACAGUGCAAUGAGAAAAUUGUAUCUUUAAAUACCAACUUAAUCUAAUCUGGGACAAAAACAAUGAAAGGCUUUAAUCAUAAUUGCAUGGUGCCUGCUGGCUGUCACCAGAGGGCAGAGACAAGGUUGUUCGUUGCCACGUGUGGAUAGUUCAGAAAUUAAAUCUCCUUUCCACAAAGGCAAUAGAUUCUGAUCUAGCUUGUGUCCUUUCCAAAUAUUUCAGCCCUGUAACCAGAUAGCUCAUUUCAUCAGCAUCUGUCACAAACGCUGUCUUGCUUCUGUCAAGCUAUGUACAAAGGGGCAAGGAGAAAUGUCUUUAUCGUACCGUGGGUGCCUGACUUUGUAACAUCGCAGCUUACACAAGAUACUGGCUCACAAUAUAAACAGGAGACUGACUUUCCCUUUGCAAGGCUUUUCCAGAGCUUGGUACUUGCAGUGCCCGCGCUCUGUGAGUGCUUCCCAGCUGGGCAACCACAGCAGGAACAGAGGGAGCCCGAUGGGGAUCCAUCUUUGAUCGGGAGCUGCUCUUACACAGUACACAUGGAAAGCUGUGCUGUGGUCUCAGCUUAGAAGAAUGAAGGUUUUAAAGCCAAAGGCAGUAAGGUACAACUUGUUCGAUGGUCAUCCUAUAUGGGGAAGGCAGAUUCCAUACAGCUGGCAGCAUGGGUACCCGGGGCAAGGGGAACAGAGAUGCUCUCAGGUGUCUGCUCUCCAUGACUGCGUACCUCCUUGCUGGAAUCUGAGAGCAAGUAAGUUUGUUUAGGAAGAGUUUAAAAGUCUUUACUGACCUACCUGGUGCCUCCUGGAUAGUUAAGCUGCGUGGAAAUACUGAGGGCUUUGCAUCCUGGGGAGGCUGAAGGUGCUGCGUCAGAUGGUGCUGCGCUGGAAACAUGUCUGAAGGAUCAGGAUUAUGUACAGGGUCAGAGCAGUGUCCUUGUCUUUCAGCGUGUAAGUUCAGGUGAAACACUCAGCUCUGUGCAUUUCUCUCUCAGAACUGGGAAAAAUGAUUCCCAUAGGUGAGGAAGGAUUUGUCCUGUGGCUGAGCUCCAGGGCCACAGUGAUGCAGAAAGAUGCUGGAGGCUCUUUGUGUUAGCUCUGCUGUACCUCCAGAUCUUUAAUUUCACUGCUUUUCAAAAUGGAAACAAAGAAGCUAAGCUGAAAUUAGCCAGUGACCUAAAUAUGACAUGGAGGGCCUGUGGGAAGCAAAGUGGACAUGCAGCAGGGAAAUUCAGCAUCACCAAUGUGAACCAUGGUGUUACAGAUGCAUGGUCAGCUUUUUGUCCAUUGCUUCCUCCUUGCUGCCAGCUCUGGCAGGUAUGAUGACUACUGCAAACACACAAAAACUCUCACUAUUUUUUACUCCUAAAGUAAGAUACAGAGGCUCUGUCUUGUUCUCUGCUUUCCACCCAUCACGUUUUUUAGUUAGCUCACAUGAUGAGGGAUCUGAUACUUACAAAACGUUCAUGAUCUUGAAUCUAGGAUCAAGAAUAGAAUAAAAGGUACAAGGAAGCAGACGUGCUCUUUCACUUGUCCCUUUUUUUGAUCUCCUUAAUCCUUAAGGGUGGUGAGGCACUGGCACAGCUGCCCAGAGAAGCUGUGGGUGCCCCAUCCCUGGAGGAUUAAGGCCAGGUUGGAUAAGACCCUGGGCAGCCUGAGCUGGGGGGGUGGCAGCCCUGCCCAUGGCGGAGGGUUGGAAAUGGGUGGGCUUUAAGGUCCCUUCCAACCCAAGCCAUUCUGUGAUUAAUCAGAAUGCAGCCUCUUCCCACCUUGCUCCAGGUUAUCUUAUUCUUUAACUGGAAAAAUAUUUAUAUACUAUCCCAGGCCACAGGAGCGGGAAGAAGGCUCGUCAGUGCACAUUGCAAAGAUAUUGUAGGGUAAUGUUACUUUGUCUUACUGGCUCACAUUCAGAUUCUGCAUUUAUCAUUUUUACAACUUAUGCCUUAAAUUGUUGUAAGAUAACCAGACUAUAGCAGUCUUAUCACGCUUACAUGCUUGUACUUUUAUGUUAGUUUUAUGGUUGUGAUAUUGAAUCCUCUUAAAGAAAAGGCAAGUUGCUUUGACUGCAGUGAGAAUUAUUUCCAUGCUCAGCCGAGCUUGCAUUUUUUUCUCAGUGCAUCUUUCAUUCUGAACAUCUUAUGCUUACUUUUUGGAUAACUGCAACCUCUGUAGUGCUUUAUCUCAGAAUGCAGUUUUGUACCAUCUCCCUUCAAGAAAAGCUAAGCUACACAGAACAGCCCUUCCAGGUUGCAGUAUGAGCUACCAGAAGAGCUACUGCUGCUCGAGUGUCUCUGUGCCGUGCACCGCUGGAUGGCCAGGCUUGGUGUCAACAAACAAGCCCAUGGGCCCACUGUUUGCAGCUCCAGUGCCAAGGCUUAAUUGGAGAAGGGACACUGUUAAUCAGAACCAGGAAUCAUUGGGCUGACUUGCCAAGUCAGACUAAGAGGAGUUUAUAUGGUCGUUCUGAGGACUUAGCAUAAAGCAUCUGGACAUGCAAGACAUCGGUACGUAAACACGAUAUGCCCUGAUGUUUUAGUUAUUUUGGCCUGCAGCAGCGAAGAACAUUUUAAAGGCCGGAUCCUUUGUAGUGCUGAAUACCCUCAACACCAGUUGUACUCGUCAGAACCCACCGUGCUCGGCGCCUUCCCAUGAGGUGCCUCGGGUAGAGCCCCAUGCUGCCUGCCAUCCCAGCCAGCAGCCGCCACCACCCUGGGGGUGGAAAGUACGAGGGCAACUUGACUCCAUUGAGAACCACAAGACAUUCCUUGUAUGUGAAAUUUCUGCAGAUUCAAGAUUUCUACAUAGCCGUGCUGCUGCUUACUUACAGAAACAUGUUUUCACAGCUUAAAUGCAUUAACCCCUCGUGGGCCUUAGAUUUCUGCGUAGGAUUUGACAUGACAUGUCUUCGAGAGAUCUUCAGGACAGGAAGACAAAACACCACUCCUGGAAAUUAAAAAAUAACUGAAUUUAGAUCAAACACUUCUGGAAAGUCUGGCUUUUGCUCUAAAAGGUUAAUCAGUAUUUGGAUUUUUUUUUGCCGUGGGAGGUUCCUUGUGUAAUUAUUGAAAAGCAAGAUCAAAAACCAGCAUCAUCUUUUGAGUGCCAAUGUCACACGCCUGGACAAAAACAAGCUAGAUCAGCCCUAAUGAUAUUUGCUCCUGGACACACUGCAGAAUCCCUGGCUGUGCUUAGGAUAGGAAGGAAUUUCCUCAUGUGGUGAGUUGGCAAAGCCUUUGGGUUUGUUUUGUUCUUGUGUAUUUUUCAAGGACUGUCUUGGAAUUUUAUUUCAGUUUUUUUUUUUUCCUUUCUGCAGCCUUGUGAUCAGAGCUGAGCAUUAGCCUUGUCCCCUCUAUGGGCUCUGCUUUGUUUCUAAAGAUUUCCUCUGCUUUCUUUAGGUGUGGAUUGGUUUGAUUGUUUUUUGCAUUACAAGAAUACUCUAGCAAUCAUAAAAAAUAAUCUAGAUUAUUGUCUACCUAGAAAUGAGAGGCAGAGAAAGGAAGAGGGUUAAGGGAAUGACUCGCUGCUCAACUACUUACAGCCUCCUAGUCCACUCCCUAGAAAAUCAGUGGAUUAUAGGAUGCUCCAAUGUUCAAGAUCGCAAUCCAAGCACACACUGUGUCAGAUGCAGCACUACACCUAAGCAGCAACUUCUCCACUUCUGUAUGUAGCUAGAUCAUUGCCAGGCCUAGAAUAAGGUGAACAAAAUUCCUAAUCUCACAGUCAAUGAUAACAUGCCUUUAUGAUUUUACUGCUGUUAUGCUUAUGAAAACAGUCUGUAUGUGUGAUGGAUAUUUAUGCAUGCUUACUUUUCUUAUUUCAGGCACACUGUUUCUAGAUCUUUAUAAGCAGCCCCAGGGUUUUCUUUUGGUGCUCUUUUGGCACAUCACUGGCCGUACUUGAAGCCGAUGGGAGAGUUUGCCUUGGACUCAGAGAGCGGGCCUUGCCUUGGGUCAAGUAAAGCCAGCAACUGGAUCCAACAACAACUACUUGAUCUCCAGUUUCCAGUUUCUCCAAUUGUUUUGUCUGUUCUGCAAAAGCUAAGUUAAUUACAAAUAAUAGGCCCUAAUUUGACAUACACCUGUCUCAUAUUCAACCUCUGUGAUUAGAAAAACACCAAGACUAGAUAUCUACAUGAAGUCUGUCUUGUGAACAUGGAGGCAAGCUGGAAACUAGACCUCAAAGGGAAGAGUAAGUUGAAUUCUUCCUCCAAAAGGGAUAUUCACUUCAACACACUGUAGCUGUGAACAGCAUUUGCAAUUCCAUAUCUCAUCCCAUUAGUUAAAUUGGUUUGCUCCAAGGGGUGAUGGGGGAGUUUUCACAGAGAAGACACAGAUGUCCUCCUUUCCCUCUAAUGCCUUGGCAUUAAACCAGACGAGACUGUGCUCAUGUGGUUUAAUAUCCUCGUUGUUCAUGAGUUUUCCCUAGAUCAGAGGCUGCUGAGGAGGCUUGUGCAAGGCAAUAGCCACAGCUGUAUACGUGACCAACAAAGUGCUCUUUGCUGCCACCAGCUCCACCAGAGCACAAAGCUUAAAGGGCUCUUUGACAUGGCCCAGCCCCUCACACUGAAAUCUCUUUCAUUUAGGAAUUCAGCAGCGAAUGUCCUUUGACUUCCGCUGUGUGUGAGCAUGUGCUUUUCUGGUCCAAACAGAGAGGAUUUGGUCCUGCCAGGGUAGAUCGGUGCCCUUUGUAGUGCACAGAAGGCAGGUGGACAAGUGGGAGCACGUGCUCCUUCUACCAUUAUUUCAUUACUGUUCAUCAUUUAUCAUAAUUGUGAUUUCAUUGUUAUUGCUGUGUAUCUGAGGAACACACUCUGAGCACGCUUCCUAUUUGCGCCUGACAGCGAGGGAGCAUCUCAAAAAAUCCCUGAGGGUUUUUGAGAUCACAAAGCUCAGAAAGAUAACACAAUUAGUGCACAUAACUCCCCUUGGUUUUCUUUAUGCCUGCUGACAAGGUUAGCAAUAACCCGUCUUUGUGAGGGAUUGUUUUGUCUCCUCUACCAACGCAUCCAGACUGGCAAGCUUUCGGUCUGACUUAUUAGAGUGUAUCUCAUUUUUCAUAAGGAAGUGGUGGUGAAAUUAGAGGCAUAUUACAUAAAGACAUCCCAAGUUAUAAAAGGAUGAAUACCAAAGGAAGUUAAUAAUUAAAAAUCCACACUUUUUAUUUUUUUCACUAACUUGAAGCCUGACCUGAAGACUGUCCACAGUGGGCUUCUCUCUGUCCACCUCUAGCUUGAACUGGGAACGGUAUAAACAACUCUACUGGGAGGUGAAUGGUGAAGCCCAAGCUCAGUGAAGCUGCAGUAUUUAGACUGAGUGUGGUCUGUGAUGUGGCUGCUGCUGCUGGAGCCAAGCUGGUUGUCCUCAAACAAGCUCCUCUUGAGUUACGGUAACUCAAGCGAUUCUGACUUUAUCCUAGAUGCCAGCCCCCAGCUAUUCCUGGAAUUAGAUUCUAGGCUAGGAGUGUGUGUUUUAAUAGAAAAACAUCUAUAUGAUCUCCAAUUCUUUCAUUCUCCUAAAGAAAUGUUAGUUUUUCUAAUUUCUGCUGAUUUUUCCCAUGGACCCACUGACUCUCCCACACAUUCUGCCUUAUGAUAGAAGCACUUUAGUGAUGAAAGAAAGUAGGGCCUAUUCAUGGGAAAAAAGGUAGUCUGAAUGCUUCAGAGGAUCAUCUUCUAAGUAGCUCGUCUUUAUUGCUUCAUAGCACACAUGUGAGUUGCGGUCCUUGCUAAUCUGGUUGAUGCAGAGUUAGGAAUGGUAUGCAGCGAUAUUGAUGGAUUAUCCCUGAAGCUAAAGACUGAGAAUACCCCAUUACUUCUGUUUGAAAAUCUCAGUUACGUUCUCACCCAGACAUCCUCAUUUUCUCAGGAAUUUCUGUACACUCAGCACAAAAUGCUUGCACAAUAGGCACGGCAACUCCUGCAACUAUUGCUUACAAUCUGCUGGCUAAUCCUUUCUGUGAUCCACGCGGUGCCUACUGGGUUUGGCUUUUGACUGGGAUUAGAAUCUGGUGCUGAUGCAUACUGCCAAGCAUGCCAAGCAGCAUACAAACCUGGAGCUCAGAGCCUAUUGUUUGUGCAUCUUUCCUCUAAUUCCGCUUUUGAACCCCUGUCUCCUUCCAGCCCUUAAGUAAGACAUCUAAUCCUGUUCCAUUUCCAUACCUUUCCAGGGAUUUGUUUCGUACUAUCAGUUAAUGUCUAUUACCUGCUUUUGGACAGGGGAUGCCAGGAUGGUGUCACCCUGGUGCCACAGCAAACUAUCAUAUCUCAAGUGGGAAGCUGCGUUUCUGCUGCUCAAGCACCUCUACUAUUCAGUGAAAUUGCCUUUUCAAUGGGAAUUUCUGCCCUCUCCAGCAGUGCUGCUGCACCCAAACCAUACACAAGCAGGAAGGCAUGGCAAGUAUCAAGGCUGAGGCAUGGAGUGCCUGCUGAGUAUGGGGCACACAGUAAGCGGCUUUAGGAUUUUCUUUCUGUCCUGUCCCUGUUGCACGUGACUCCAAUGCUACUCUGGGGUCUGUGUGAGCUGGUAGGGAGCCCUUGCUCCUCCCAGUCUGUUCAGGCUUUCAGGGGUUCAUGCUGCUUUUGUCCCAGUUUCAUGUCAGAAGGACACUUGCUGGGUCUAGGUACAGCACACCCUGCUCAGGCUCCAUCCCUGCACUGCCAUGGCCUUGCAUCCACGCCUUCAGUUAACCAAGCCUCGUCUGCAACCUGUUGCUCCUGCCCUACAAUGCUGCUUAAAUUUAGUUUAAAAUCUGGCCAUUUUACUGCUGCAUCCCACAUUCCUCACAGACAGUAGCAAGCUAAUAACAACGUGCUGAUGCCAUCGUAGCCAUCACAGGCUGGAGCUGGCAUGCAUAGUCUUGUCUCGUAAACCUCUUUGUCCCGUGAGAGAUUUGAGAAUUUAAUACACAUUCGGUCUGUACCUCCUUAUUUGAGGCUGGCCAGUCUGAAUCACUUUUGAUAAACUCUAAGCAGGAAUUUCAAACAUAGUUAUGUUCCUAUCAGUUUAAUUAAAGUAGAUGACUGGGUAGAGAAACCCUGUGAAAUGUUCCCAUUGAGGAGAAGGCUGUGCUGGGUGUGCCCCUGAGGAACCAUCAGGGAAUCUGCACAGGGCCAUGGCUGUUAUCAUGGGGCACUGAGGAACUUUACUUGAAGCUCUGUCUUGCACUGCCUUAUGAGGAUGCGACACUGCGUGGAUAUGAGAAGCCGGAAAGGACAGGCAUGGCAUGGAGUUUACUUUGCCAACAUUGGUGUCAAUGUAUACCCAGGAACUGCAAAUACUGGUUGGAAACACGUUGUGCUGUCCAGAGGCAUAAUUACAGAAAGCUUGUAGUUGUCUUUAUCACAAAGUUUUAAUUAGCAGGACACAUUAAAUAACCAGCUGAUACAGAUCUUAAUGAAUCAUUUAUAGGCCUACAUCUAGGAUAAUUAUAUGUAGCUGGUCACAUGAAAUCACUUGCAUACGCCUGGGCUUAUGUGAAAUGGAAUAUGCAUCUUCCUCAUGAAAUAAGGGUGAAAGAGGGAUGGGAUGAAACUGGGGCACCAGCCUACCUUCCCCAAGCUCUUUUUGCAUGAAGUAUUUUCAGCAAAAUAAAUAAGGCUGGCUUCAAGAAGUCCGCCGAGCUCCAGGAUGGGCAUCUCGGGCCAGUCCCCUUUCUGUUGGCAGGUUUGUCUCUUCCAUUGUGAUGGGUACCCUAUAGCACUCAUUUCCCGCCUUCACUGCAUGCUGGCCCAUGGGCAGGGGUCUUGGUCUUAGGUCCUUUCACAGAAUUGUAGGGGUUGGAAGGUUGACCUCAAGAGAUCAUUGAGUCCAAGCCCCCUGCUAAAGCAGGUUCCCUACGUAGGUCACAGAGGUAGGCAUCCAGAUGAGUCUUGAAUAUCUCCAUUGAAGGAGCCUCCACAACCUCUAUGGGCAACCUGUUCCAGUGCUCUGUCACCCUUACGACAGCCUUAGCUUGUAUAAUUGGGAGCUGUUGUUUUUAUCAAGUGAUACUUCAGCUGCUGGUUCUUUGUACUAUGUUACAUGCAAAAAGAAAUAAUGACCUCCUGUAUGGCAUGGAUGUGUUGUCCAAUGAUUUUACAUACAGUGACGUAGUUGGCUUGCUCAACUGGAGCCCCAGAAGGAGCAGAGCCCCUGUUUGACUGCAAGUCAGAAGCAAGGGAUAAACAAACCCUUGCAAGUGUAUAUUUGAAAAGAUUAAGAGCAAAGUAUUACCAACCCAUGCGAUAUUGUAAUCAAAAAUCCUUUAAAAGUGGCGUUGACUAAUUUUCUCAAUUAUCCUCAGAGUCUGCUGUUAACAGGUUUCCCUGGUUUCUCAGCACCAGACAAACUCUGCUGAUCUCUGCAAAAUGUCUUCCACCUUAAGUACAGAGUUCUCCUUAGAAUUAGUGGUUUUUUUCAGAGUUAAUAUGUUAGUCUCCUGAUGUGCCACAGCAGGCGUCUGGAGCAGAUCUUACCAGACUGUUUAUGCUGCGCUUCCUCCUAGAUUGGUUUGAGGCAAGGGAGCACUUGUGGCAAGAGCUGUUGUGGUGCAGGGUUUGGCAGCAUCUUUCCACACCCUAGUUUUUGUUUUUUGUCAAGGACAGAGGGAUGGAGGCUCCAAGAAUGGCUUCUUAGUUCCCAUCAGGGGACAGCCACACAGCAGGGCAUGAGCUGGUGCCAUGUUUCCAAGGUGUCAGAGAUGUCCUCUGCCACUUUUUCCUAAAAGAAAAAGAGAAAUAUGUUAAAAGGGAUUACUCUCUCCCCUAAGGCAGGAAGUGGUCAGUAUGUGGUCCACCCCUGAAACCAGGGGCACCUUCUCCAGAGGUCCAUGCUGUAUGGUCCUACCCAACAGGGUGGACAUGGUCAGAACCACGUAUGAUAGCAUGUUGUGUGCUGAAGCUGACAGUCUGCCCAGACUGAUGUCUGUAAUAACUUUGCACAUUGUGGUUGUUGCUGUUUUUAUCCUCCUACCCCCUUGGGAAGUAAGGAAGUUCUAUUAGUCAUUUUCUGGGGAGAAACUGAGAUGUGGCUUGAUGAGGCCACACAGGGAGCCUGUAGCAGAGCCGUGCAGCUAUCAGACCAACCGUCCUCAUUCGUUAUUGGCUCUGCUAGAUACUUGUGCAUAGCUAGGAAACACAGACAUGGCUCCUGAAUGGCUGUGAGGAAUAGGACAGAGCCAGGGAAGGGGAAGAGCAUUGCCUGUUCCUGACACCAAAAAGGUGGUAUGGGAAUGCCCUUAGUGGUAGCAGAGGGCUCCUGCCCCACGCGUUCAGUGGAGCAGAUUUUUCCCAGCUUCUUGUUAGACACCCAGUCUUGGCUUUCCAGCCACCGCCAACACUGUCUGGGCACAGGGCCACGUUUACUCUGGCUCUACAGCCAGAAAUAUGGUGAUCUCUGGUUCAUGCUGGUGUGUGGCUGGCCUGAAUGCAUCAAAAUGCGUCAUCAGGAGUCACUAGCUGCAAAAAUCCGAACCAUGGCAGGGAAACUGGGGGGCAUAUAGCACGGCACUGAAGAGAGGAGCAGCGCCGGCAACCAGACACAGAGAAUGCUCUUCAUUUUCAAAUCACUUUAUUAGAAGGCCACUUCCUAAAGUAAAGCAUCUCUUUCGGAGUGCUGUGUUUCAAUCUCUGAGCUGUAUCAGGAGUGCAGUUUGUUUUGCAAGAGCCAAUGUACCAAUUACAGGCUGAGACUUUGAGAGAGGCACGAGGGACUCAACCACACAUCUUCCAUUAAUUAUCUCUUGGCCACAUUAGUGCUACAAUGAUAGCACCAGUAAUAUGUCACAAGCUCAUUUUCUGUCAUUAAAAUCAGCAGAUGCGACCCUGAUCCUUGCUGGGAGCACAUCUUCUCAGCAAGAAGGUGCUGUUUUAUCGCAGGCACUUUUAAAGUACAGUGCCAUUUAAAUGCCAGAUUGUGCUGGAGCAGAGCUCUGGUCCUGCUUCUUCUGACCUCCUGGGGCAGGGGGGAGCUGAGCUCUGCAAUAGUCCUCACAGCAGCGCCGAGCCUGGACUGAGUUUGUCUGUACUGACCUCCUCCUCUUGGUGUGAUAGAGAAAUGGUCCGAGUUUCAAAAAGCUGAUGCAUAGGCAUUGCUGGUAGAUAUUAAUGCAUCAGUUGUAGGCUGUUGGAAUGCAAAUAAUUUGGCUGUUGUUUCACCCUGGGUUCCAGAUCCAACAAUUCGGGCUGCGUCAUGGUGAGGCACCUUCUCCCUGUGUCCCUUGCAGCCACAGGCUGGGCUCAGAGUAUCGAGCCCCAGGUUGCUGCUGUAUUCCAAGCCUGAACAUUGUUCCAACUUCCAUCUCCUACUCCCUCUCCCAUCCUGCCAUGUACACUCUGGGGGCCAGAAAGCAUCUCUUCUCAGGUUAGGUCUAGUGCCAAACUCAGUGCGUUGAAACUUAGCAAUCCACUCACCUAAGCAAUGACAGCUUAGGCAGCAGCUUGCUCCGCCAGCCUCUUCCGUCUGUUUCUGAGAAGAAAAAGAACAAAAAGCACUCCGUUUGGAAUAUUGCGUAAUAUUGCCCUUUGAAAGAGAAAAUGUGGAAAAACCCAGCCAUUGCUAUUGGCCUUAUCCUUCCCUUACCCUUCACAGGGAGCGGUGCUGGUGCACAGACGUGUGCCUGUGUCUGUCCAUCUGGCUGCACGGUGCCUCUGAAGGCGGCAGCUGGGCUGGACGCGGGCAGGAGGUAACCCUGCUGUGGGAAGGCGUCCAGAUUGUAAAUUAGCCCCCAAAAAUAACAACAAGAAGAAAAAGAUGGCACCGUCCAAAGAUUAGAAGUUGAAAGGGACGGGUUGACGCCACACUAAGCAGCCUCUUCUGGUUAGAAUAUGAGCGGUGGGUGUCAGCAGCAAUAGAGCAGGUUGCCUACAACCCCAGCAGGCGCUCCGACCUGAUGGGUGUGCAGGCUGUGUGGCUGUGGGGAGCUGCUGAGCCUUGGUGUGCACGAUUCCCCCUGACACACACUGGCUGGAGAAGGUGCUGCGUGGCUCGGGUGCAGCCUGGGCCCCUGUGCUAAUGCAGGAAGGACCCAGUCUUGAACUUCUUUCUGUGCGCAGACAUUGGUUCCUUUUCUUCUAAUUCUUAGCUUUGUAAGAUCAGAGAUGGGGCUGUGUUCCAGCGCCAGCAAUCUCAUUUCUGUCGCAGGGUUAUAAAUGUGUCUGGGACCUUGCCAUGUGUCUGCGUGGCCCAGAGGCCCCGAAGCAUCCCUGAGUUGCAGCCAGGAGGACCUGUGUCCAUGCACACAGCAAAACAACUUCUUGCACUGACACAGUGGUAUGAAAAGGUGGGCCAAAAGCUGCUGUUUCAAGGCCAACAGGAAAACAUAUUGCACUUUCCUUCCGUGUGCCACAUAGCCUUUCCUAGUGGGGCUCCUGCUGUGCUGCCACAGGGCGUGGGGCUGCUUCCCCAUCCAAUGCUGCUUCACUAGCAAGGCUGGAACGUGAGGCUGGGUGGGCAAGGGCUGAUACUGCUUGAGCAAGCAAAUACGGAUGAAGAAAUAAAUAUUUGGCAGAAACGUUUUAAAGCUACAAACAUUAAAUAUUACUAUGCAGAGAAAUGUUAGAGCAGUGAGAUCCAUAUACAUUCACCAAGGGCUAUAUCUCACGAGCCACACAAGAGAGACAAGAUUUAAGGAAUGAGAAGAAACUGCUUUUAAGCUGAUUUCUAAUAAAACCAGGCUUAUUAUUUAAUGGUGUGUUUUAUGCCAGGAGGACUAUUGGUAGAGCCUGGCACUGCUGUGGUACGGCCCAGCUCCCGUCUCUCAGGAAGCAGUUAUCAGACAGAAUUUUAAUGGCUCUUAGGAGCCGUCCGAAAGGCUAGUAAAAUCAGAGGGAAUUCUUAAACAGAGUUGUUCUGAGCUUUUCACGACGCCUCUUUCCUCACCUUGCUGCAGAAGCACAAGCCCUCGCUGCAUGCCACGGAGCGGUAUGGCCGCCGGGUGCCCCGGUGAGGGGUGGGUGGCUGUGCCCCACGGGGGGGAUGCAUUCAGUGCUCUCUGUGAUAACCUGGCUCCCGGGCUCUGCUCCCUCCUGCACGCUGUGCUGUAUCCUGUCCUCCUGGAUGGAGCCAUCGCUGGGGCCUUGGUUCAGCACAUGGUUUAGAAACUGAGAGCAGGGAAAGUGAGAGAGGGAGAUCAAUAAACCUCAGUAAGGGGAGAAAAAAGGCAGUGGCUUCGGGGAAGAUCUAGAGAGCUUGUAGUUAUCAUUAGGAGCGACAAGCAGUGAUGUCUUCUUGGCAUAUCUCAUUAGAAAGUGCUGGGAGCUACUGAACUGGACAGCGGCUUCAAAUGCCAGUGACCUCCGGGAGCUGGAAGUGAACGUUGUAAUUGAUAUAAGGAUGGAAGCUGCUGCACUACAAAGUGGCAUUUUGGAUACUGUGGGAACAGGUGAUGUGAAGCAUCCUCGGCGAGAUCUGUUUCCCUCCACUCUUUUGACUCCUGUCAGAGGUGCGUGUUCGAGCUUUUCUCUGGGCAGAUGGCUUCUGCAAAUAGAACUGGCUUUGAAAUACAAAGUUUUGUCGAAUUCAUUAUACACCUUCUGACUUCAAAGCCGUGCCGUUUCCUCUUCAGUUUCAAACAGAGUCGCGCGGCUGCUUCCAGGGCUGUUACAUUGGAAACAGACAUUGCAGAGCACGUCACCAGCACAGUGUGGCAGCCCUGGGAGCAUCACCGGCUCCGGACCACAUCCCUGCCCACAGCUGGAGCCACACGGUGCUGCACUUCCUGCCCUCUGUGCUCUCCUUGGUGGGGACACCCCUGGCUUUUCCCAUUCAGUGAGGUGCAGCCAUGUGAGCCUCUCCCAGCUCUGCCAGGCUCAGAGGGCAGGGCAGGUGGGAAGGGCUACGGAUAGACUUCACCCUUGAAGCUGUCGCGUCCAUCUGGGUGCCAGACCUCCUUGCUGAGGUGUUCCAACAAGAGGCUUCUUCCUCCAAAGGGAGGAGCUGUACAAAGCCAUUUUCAUGUCGCUUUAUUUUGAAUUCACCUUCUGCAGCACGGUGGUUAUCCAUUGCAGCUCAGCAAGCGGGUGCCGGCACUCAGAAUCUCCUACGAGCUCCUAAAGCUGUCUGCAUUACUUCACAUGAGCUACAUGUGCUCAACUUUGUCCGAAGGGAUGGUUUUGGGGUUUCAUGUCUCAUUUUUCUUUUGGGGAUGUGUUGGAGCUGCUCUAAGGGAUGUCAAUUAGAGAGCUUUCUCUUUGUAUCUGCUUCCUGCACAGAGAGAUGACAUUUUUUUGGCCAAAAGUUUUCUUGGAAAGAAAAUGUCACUUUGUGAAACUGAAAUGUCAGUUUAGUCGAGUUGUUCAUAUGCAAAAAGCGAAUGGAGAAAAGAAGCACCCAAACUUCAAAGCAGCAGAAAGACUCCUUUCGACACCUUCUGAUUUGCCACAACUUUGUUCUGAAAGGCUUCGGGUUCGUUCUGGAAGUUUUAAAAGGCUCAAAGCCAAAAUGUUGCGACCGAGCAAAAUGUUUGCUCCAUCCUCUACUCAUUCUCUUCUUUUUCAUUAUUAUUUUAGAACUGGCAUCAAACAGAAGAUCUAUUUUUCGCCCUGCUCUGGUUGUCUGCAGCAUCUGGAUAAGCUGAAGACAGCAUUUGCUAAACUGAAAAGUAUUUAGGGAGAAGUUCUCUGUCUGUACCUCGCCUCUCAGCAGCUGGACCAUUUAUGGAUGCUCUGUAAGGGCAGUGUACGAUGACUUGCAGCAUUCCUCCAUGAGAAGCUUUUGUGGGAUUUCUGUCUUAUCAUUAGCACGUUAUAAAAAUGUCAACUAUUUCCAAACCUUUCAAGUUUCAUUGGAAGGACUACUCUGAAUUUCAGCCCUGAAGUCGGUUGAUGUGCGGUUUGAUCAUCUGUUCCUCCUCUCGUACAGAUGCUCUCAAUGUGGGCAGCAGAGCAGCGCUGUCACAGCAGAUUAAUGGCAGAAUGCAGCACUGCUUGUGGAAGCAGAGUAACUAAAGACCAACAGUGAUGUUGUACCAUCUGAAUAAACCCUGAAAUUAGAAUAAUUUUUCUCAAUGUUUCGGCCUCCUAAGUACAAAGUAAUAACCCUGUCAGGGGUAAUAUUUGCUGCUGUCUCCUGUGGAUGCAUUGGGAAUUCGCUGCAGCCUCCUGGGCAGAAGGUGGGUGUGUUGAUGGUGGGACACUGUACUAAAGGGAAAUGUACACAAGCCCCUUGGUCGCAGUGCAGGAUGGAACUACUGGGAAGAUCAGUGCUGCUUUGAACGUGGCAUUUGGUUUGGUUUCCUCACAGAAAGGACAAUGGAAAAAUGGGGAAUGUAUAUAUAUUUGUACAGCAGGCAAAAUGUGUUGUGGACUUCGGUAGGAGAUGGCAGUCGGUAUGUGAAAUCCAGACCCGAGGCAAAUACCAAAUGGUGGAUGGUGAAGAAAGCCUCGCUGAGUGCUCAUUGCCUCAGUACAAAUUGGACGAGGGCAAAACCUCAGCGAAGGAUGAGACUUAACAAUAUUCCUGUAAACCUCACAAAAAUAGGAGUAAUCCUGUAGCAUUGCCAGGCUGGGGGAAGUCACUUAGCCAUUGUUUGAAUCUGUUAAACUGCUUGCUUCUGGGCUUCUGUGUGCAUUCAUUUUGGAGGAUUCUCUGAGGAGACCUCAAUGCUCUCUACAACAACCUGAAAGGAGGUUGUGGCAAGGUGGGGGUUGGCCGCUUCUCCCAGGUAACAGUGACAGGAUGAGAAGGAAUGGCCUCAAAUUGCACCAGGGGAGAUUCA
Long non-coding RNA from Gallus gallus (chicken), 16818 nucleotides. RefSeq lists it as uncharacterized. NCBI's taxonomy places the organism in Eukaryota, Metazoa, Chordata, Aves, Galliformes, Phasianidae. The record is from RefSeq and is a predicted model, not a curated record. The transcript is spliced from 3 exons.